UACAGGGGGUGCAAACGUUGCUCGGAAUCAUUGGGCGUAAAGCGCACGUAGGCGGUUCGUUAUGUCGGAUGUGAAAGCCCUUGGCUUAACCGAGGAAGUGCAUCCGAAACUGGCGAGCUAGAGUACUAAAGAGGAUCGCGGAAUUCCCGGUGUAGAGGUGAAAUUCGUAGAUAGUCGGGAGGAACACCGGUGGCGAAGGCGGCGAUCUGGGUAGAUACUGACGCUGAGGUGCGAAAGCGUGGGGAGCAAACAGG
Molecule: ribosomal RNA, 254 nt
Filed under: uncultured bacterium
Lineage: Bacteria
Description: partial 16S ribosomal RNA
Rfam family: Bacterial small subunit ribosomal RNA
Source: RNAcentral